AUCAGGAUGGCUGAGUGGUCUAAGGCGCCAGACUCAAGUUCUGGUCUCCAAAUGGAGGUGUGGGUUCAAAUCCCACUUCUGCCA
This 84-nucleotide transfer RNA is filed under the name Anguilla anguilla (European eel). RNAcentral describes it as "tRNA-Leu". It matches the Rfam family "tRNA". Rfam says of the family: Transfer RNA (tRNA) molecules are approximately 80 nucleotides in length. Lineage: Eukaryota; Metazoa; Chordata; Actinopteri; Anguilliformes; Anguillidae. The record is from RNAcentral.